Molecule: ribosomal RNA, 321 nt
Filed under: uncultured bacterium
Lineage: Bacteria
Description: bacterial SSU rRNA
Rfam family: Bacterial small subunit ribosomal RNA
Source: RNAcentral
GAUGAACGCUAGCGACAGGCCUAACACAUGCAAGUCGAGGGGCAUCGGGGAGCGAAGCUUGCUUUGCUCCGCCGGCGACCGGCGCACGGGUGAGUAACGCGUAUGCAACCUGCCCGUUUCAGCGGGAUAACCCGGAGAAAUCCGGCCUAAUACCGCAUGUGGCCGAGGGGAGGCAUCUUCUUUCGGCCAAAGGAGGCGACUCCGGAGACGGAUGGGCAUGCGUGACAUUAGCUAGUUGGCGGGGUAACGGCCCACCAAGGCGACGAUGUCUAGGGGUUCUGAGAGGAAGGUCCCCCACAUUGGAACUGAGACACGGUCCAA